RNAcentral lists this ribosomal RNA (588 nucleotides) under Triticum aestivum (bread wheat). RNAcentral describes it as "partial small subunit ribosomal RNA". Lineage: Eukaryota; Viridiplantae; Streptophyta; Magnoliopsida; Poales; Poaceae. The record is from RNAcentral.
AUGCUCGGUUUUGGUGCAAGAAGUCUCACUCAGCUUGUAACUAUCCUUGAGCUCUUUGACAUGCUUGAUGCGGGCCUUGAGUUCCUCGAUCUGGUCGGCAAUUCCACAGCGAGAAUCGAGCGUCCUGAGGAAGCGAGUGGUGUCGCGGAAGAUUUCCUUGAAGCCGCCGCGACGCCCGUGUUUGCCGAGGUGGCGGAUGAACUUGUCGAUGCAAUCCUCGGUAUCAUAGGCCAGCUCCCUGAGCAGCGAUAUCCAGGCCUUCACCUGGACGCCUGGAUCUUCGAGCAUGGUGUACUCCUGGAGCGCGGCGUGCAUGCUGGUCAGCUCGGCCUGGAGAGAGAGGAUGUCCUUGCGGACGCCUCGCACGCGGCCGAACUUGCCGGCGAGCAGGUCGGCGAGCUUCCCCAGCAGCGGACCCAGCACGCCAUGCGCGGCGCUCACCACCGACAUCGAUGGAUCGGUCGAUGCCCUCUGCUAGCUCUUUCUGGUCUCGCUCGUUGGUGUUUGUCAGAUCUGCUGCUGCUGCUGCUGGGAGAGUGGAGAGGGAGAAGUGGCCGGAUGGAGGAAGAGGAAAGCAGCAAGCAAUAA